CAAAAUAUAGAAUGACUCUUUUUUCUGGGAUAUUCAUAAAUCAAACGGUUCACCUCUGAAGCUCCUUCAGUAGUGUCUCAAGAACAUGCUUUAUCGGUACUGACUGCGGGUCUCAGGAAAUACUGAAGAUAUAAGGUGGCGCUGAAAGACGGCAGCUUUAGCGAUUCCACGACCUACUUACGUGGCGUUGGACUGGAAGGGGGAAAUAAAGGAAAUCACUUCUGAGCUGAGACCAAGCAAGGAAUGUUUCAGCCGUGAAGGAAUUAGUCUGAGAAAGUUCCAAGCAGCUGAAAAAGUGGAAUGGAAGAGAAACGGCAUUUUCAUCCUAGCUAUGUUAUCAGCAGCAUUUGCUCUAAUCGCUGAUAACAACAAGAAUCUCUGUAACCUCCUCCCUGCCUUCUGAUGUCUGGUUUGGUGAUGUGAUCAAAGGCUGGGAAGGAAGCGUGUUUGGUAUGAAAG
Molecule: long non-coding RNA, 459 nt
Filed under: Crocodylus porosus (Australian saltwater crocodile)
Lineage: Eukaryota; Metazoa; Chordata; Crocodylia; Crocodylidae
Description: lncRNA (ENSCPRG00005006207.1)
Source: RNAcentral